UUUCAUUGUUUAAAUCUUAAUAGCUUGAUCGAACUGGAAUUGAACCUAGUCCAAUUGAUUGUUUCAAAAAGUUCCAUGUAAGUAAGCCUAAGAAUGGAGAAGAAGAAAGUUGGCCAAGUGAAAAGGCUAAAGAACUUUUUGUACGUUGCCCUUACUUUGUUUCUCUUUUUUUAAUUUUUUUUUAUUCACGACAUAUUUUUAUAUCCAUGUUUAUAUUUCUACUAUUUCAUUGAAGGAAAAAUUGGAGAAUAAAAAGGUUGCUGCAACGGAAGACGAGAAUGAAGUAUUUGAUUGGGAUAUAUACAAGGAGGUUAUUGGUGGGCCAAGUCACGGUUGUAUUCUUAGCUUAGGUGGUGGCUAUAGUACAAAAGAUGUGUAUCCCUCAGAUGACUAAGAUUGUAAUAAACGUAUAUGCUUAGAACAGUAUCUAUUUAAAAGGGUGGCGUGAGUUUAUCGUCCAUGCCUUUACUUUUAUUUAAAUGUAUGGAACAGAAUUAGUGCCCAUACAAGCACGUUUACUUUAUCGCACAUUUACUUUUACUUAAAGUAUGAUGUGGAAUUAACCCUCAUACUUUAUGAAUUUACUUUACCGCACAUUUAAUUU
RNAcentral lists this long non-coding RNA (604 nucleotides) under Prunus dulcis (almond). RNAcentral describes it as "sRNA ncRNA". Lineage: Eukaryota; Viridiplantae; Streptophyta; Magnoliopsida; Rosales; Rosaceae. The record is from RNAcentral.